GACGAACGCUGGCGGCGCGCUUAACACAUGCAAGUCGAACGGAAAGGCCUGCUUUCCCUUGUGGAUUGCGGGUACUCGAGUGGCGAACGGGUGAGUAACACGUGAGUGAUCUGCCCCCAACUUGGGUAUAAGCCUGGGAAACUGGGUCUAAUUCCCGAUAGGACUGCAGGGUGGUGCCUGUGGUGGAACACGAUUUUCUAGUGGUUGGGGAUGAGCUCGCGGCCUAUCAGCUUGUUGGUGGGGUAAUGGCCUACCAAGGCGGCGACGGGUAGCCGGCCUGAGAGGGUGGACGGCCACAUUGGGACUGAGAUACGGCCCAGACUCCUACGGGAGGAAGCAGUGGGGAAUAUUGCACAAUGGGCGGAAGCCUGAUGCAGCGAGGCCGCGUGGGGGAUGACGGGCUUCGGGUUGUAAACUCCUUUCGACCGCGAGGAAGCCACCUGGUUGGAAGGGUGGUGACGGUAGUGGUAGAAGAAGCACCGGCUAACUACGUG
This 494-nucleotide ribosomal RNA is filed under the name uncultured bacterium. RNAcentral's name for it is "partial 16S ribosomal RNA". It matches the Rfam family "Bacterial small subunit ribosomal RNA", at positions 28 to 507 of the family's 1533-position model. The record is from RNAcentral.